RNAcentral lists this ribosomal RNA (530 nucleotides) under Rhynchacris ornata. Its description in RNAcentral is "partial 16S ribosomal RNA". It matches the Rfam family "Bacterial large subunit ribosomal RNA", at positions 1824 to 2608 of the family's 2925-position model. The record is from RNAcentral. Lineage: Eukaryota; Metazoa; Arthropoda; Insecta; Phasmatodea; Pseudophasmatidae.
AAACAUCUUUUCUUGGUUUUAAUUUGAGAUUUGACCUGCCCAAUGAUUAUAUUUAAUGGCCGCGGUAUUUUGACCGUGCAAAGGUAGCAUAAUCAUUAGUCUAUUAAUUGUAGGCUUGUAUGAAUGGUUGGACGAGAUAUUUACUGUCUCACUUAUAUUAUUUUGAAUUUAAAUUUUUAGUUAAAAUGCUUAAAUUUUAUUAUUGGACGAGAAGACCCUAUAGAUCUUUAUUUUAUAUAUUUAUUAUUAUUUUAGUUAUUUUUAUUUAUUUUAUGUUAUAUAAUUUUUUGUUGGGGUGACAUGGAGAUAUAAUUAACUCUUUAUUUUUUUAAUCAAAUAUUUUUGUUUAUUUGACCUUUUAUUAUUGUUAUAAGAUUUAGAUACCUUAGGGAUAACAGCGUUAUUUUUUUUGAGAGUUCAUAUCGACAUAAAAGAUUGCGACCUCGAUGUUGGAUUAAGAUUACAUUAAAUUUGGUGUAGUAGCUUAUAAUGGUAGGUCUGUUCGACCUUUAAAUUCUUACAUGAUCUGA